UUUCAGUUUUGUCCGGUGAUGGUUUCGUUGAGUCUAAUGCCGGUCGUUUUCGGGAGAAAUCACACGGUUAACCGAUUUUCUAUGUCCAUGAUGUGAAACACAUAAUGUGAUAUACUUGAUGUAUGUGGACAUGCCAGACAUAUAGUUGGUGUAGCUAGGGGUACAUUAUUAAACUUCAGAUGUGUGACCAUGUUUUGCGGCAUACCUCGUGUAGCUCGCCGUGUUGUUGUCGUCGUUGGCCUUCUGAUUCCAAUUCCAAGGUAUAUUUGAGGUGUAGGUUGAAUUUUUAUUUCUGGGUUUCUAUCGAUUUAGGUCUUCUCUCUCUUUUUCUUCGGUUUUGUGAUCUAUUCUAUAGCUCUGUCUCUGUAUUUCUCAGCUCUAUCUUUAAGAGGUGCUUUGUUUAUGUGUCUUUAUUGGCUCAUUUUGGGUGAUUUUCUGUCUCUGAUUAUUUCUUUGGUUGUAUCUAAUAAACCCUUUUCGAUUUUCUCCUGUUGAAUUUCUCUGGUUCUGAGUCACCAGAGCAAGUCGACAUAAGAUUGUUGUCUCUCAACAAGAGUAGAUGUCCUGUGUCAAUUGCCAAAAAUGUCUCUCGUUUCAGGUCGAGUUUUGUUAUUAGACGAACUUUUGCAAAAUGAGCUUCAUGGACAAGGACCAAUAAUGUAGAUAAGAAGCGUCUCCUCUCAUCUCAAAACGCUGGCCGCCGAUGUCGUCACUGCUUCUCCUUGUCGAUCAAUAGCCGCCUCCGCUAGUCCCAUUGGUUUCUAUACUCUUGUUUCUCUGAAUUUUUUUUUGACUAUGUAUGGUCAGAUCUAAAAGAAGGAAGGAAACAGCGAGGAUAUGGGAGGAAUAGGAUUCGUAGCUGUGAAGACGAUGGCUGGUAACAAAACUAUAAAGGAUUGUCAUUUCUAGCUGAGAUUGUCAUUCCGCUAACGAAACUAUAAAGAAUUGUCAUUCCGCGACUAUUAGCUUUGUCAGGUUAUUCUUACAGCUGCCUUUUCCUGCAUUGUCAUUUCUAGCUGAGAUUUUUUAUCUCGAUAUUGAGAAAUGGGACGUUGUACGCGACAUGUGAGACUUUCUAUAGUGUGUCAAAUGAAAAUAUGUACAAUUGUUUCUUGGAUCCCUUUUUAUCUCCUUCUCCAGGUGUUAGCUAUCUUGAAAUUUCUUUUUCCAAUUUUUUUUUGUUCAAAUGCCUGAAGUGUUUCGUUUAUUUUCUUCUCAACUAAUCGCAAAAAUUCUAAAUUCUUAAGGAUACGGAAGUAAACAAAAGGUUCUCUGCAAUAAGUGAUAUUCUAUAUCUACUCGAUUCCAUGUGCUACCUGCUCAGAAUGGGAGGAUCUUCCGUUCAAGACCAGCUGGCCACUGUGGUUCAAUUUAUGCAUGAUGUGCCUGAUGAGUCUCAUGAGCAGACGAUGAAGAUGCGGAGCUUGUGGGAGGUUGCCUGUUCUAAAGAACUUGUUCUCCCACCUCUCUUUACUCAAUCUAUUUAGUACUCUUUAUUUUCCCUACUGGUUUAAAACUCUAUUUUUUUUUCUGAAUGUUUAAAACUAAGGUUUAAUCGGAGCUUUUGGAAUUUAGUUUUGCAAUGAUAUUUGCAGGUAAA
This is a non-coding RNA of Camelina sativa (false flax), 1600 nucleotides long. Lineage: Eukaryota; Viridiplantae; Streptophyta; Magnoliopsida; Brassicales; Brassicaceae. The record is from RefSeq and is a predicted model, not a curated record.